Molecule: non-coding RNA, 143 nt
Organism: Notechis scutatus (mainland tiger snake)
Lineage: Eukaryota; Metazoa; Chordata; Lepidosauria; Squamata; Elapidae
Source: RefSeq, a predicted model, not a curated record
UUUGGUUAUCUGCGUUCCUGGCAUCCUCCCAACCAUGUUGAAUUACUGCCAUUCCUUCACAUCUGGAAUUCUUUCUCUUGCCCUGUCGGACUAUUACCUCAUUUUACCUUGAUUGGACUUACAACCACAGUUUUUGUUCACCA